GCUCCGCUGUGGAAAUUGCAACAGAAAGAAGACAGGAAUAGACUACCUUUAUUCAUAUACUUGGGAUUUGUCUUGUCACCGUGUAUGUUUUAUUCUAUUUGAAUUGUAAGCUUUUAUUUGGAGCUAAUGUAUUAUAUACUCUUGCCGUGCCACCUGUAUCCACAGGUCUAACCAGGACAAACUUGUGAGAAUUAGUAACAACUGAACCUUAGUCUCUCUCUAGUCUCUGCCUGCUGUCUCACUAGUGGAGCUGUCUCCUCUCCAGUUCUUGAGUUUCUGCAUUGCAUUUCUUCACCUCUGAGUCUGCUCUGCUCUCUGGCUCCUUGUCUUUCAGGCCAGUGGAUGACAGUGUAUCUUUUCCUUAUCUUUCAGGCCAGUGGAUGGCAGUGUAUCUCCAGUGUACAAGGUCCAGGGCUGUGCUCACCACCUGACCCUACCUGUCCUUGGGGGUUGGAGGUGAGAUGGCUCGGAAUCAAAGACACAGAUCUGGAAGCAGGUGGUCAGUGGCAGAGCAAUCACCAUGCUCAAGACCCUGGGAUAAGAACCUAAUACUGAACAAGAAUAAACAACAACAACAAAACCCCUAAAGCGAAAGAACUACUUCUAGUCUUUAGAAAACUUCCUACUCUCAAGAGUAACAUUCCAAGGAAAG
Mus musculus (house mouse) is the source of this 652-nucleotide long non-coding RNA. RefSeq annotates it as predicted gene, 34545. NCBI's taxonomy places the organism in Eukaryota, Metazoa, Chordata, Mammalia, Rodentia, Muridae. The record is from RefSeq and is a predicted model, not a curated record. The transcript is spliced from 3 exons.